Molecule: ribosomal RNA, 793 nt
Filed under: uncultured marine bacterium
Lineage: Bacteria
Description: bacterial SSU rRNA
Rfam family: Bacterial small subunit ribosomal RNA
Source: RNAcentral
CUGGCGGCAGGCCUAACACAUGCAAGUCGAGCGCUUACCUUCGGGUAGGAGCGGCGGACGGGUUAGUAACGCGUGGGAAUAUACCCUUCACUACGGAAUAGCCUCGGGAAACUGAGAGUAAUACCGUAUACGCCCUUCGGGGGAAAGAUUUAUCGGUGAAGGAUUAGCCCGCGUAAGAUUAGAUAGUUGGUGGGGUAAUGGCCUACCAAGUCUACGAUCUUUAGCUGGUUUUAGAGGAUGAUCAGCAACACUGGGACUGAGACACGGCCCAGACUCCUACGGGAGGCAGCAGUGGGGAAUCUUGGACAAUGGGCGCAAGCCUGAUCCAGCCAUGCCGCGUGUGUGAUGAAGGCCUUAGGGUCGUAAAGCACUUUCGCCAGAGAUGAUAAUGACAGUAUCUGGUAAAGAAACCCCGGCUAACUCCGUGCCAGCAGCCGCGGUAAUACGGAGGGGGUUAGCGUUGUUCGGAAUUACUGGGCGUAAAGCGCACGUAGGCGGAUUAGUCAGUCAGAGGUGAAAUCCCAGGGCUCAACCCUGGAACUGCCUUUGAUACUGCUAGUCUUGAGUUCGAGAGAGGUGAGUGGAAUUCCGAGUGUAGAGGUGAAAUUCGUAGAUAUUCGGAGGAACACCAGUGGCGAAGGCGGCUCACUGGCUCGAUACUGACGCUGAGGUGCGAAAGUGUGGGGAGCAAACAGGAUUAGAUACCCUGGUAGUCCACACCGUAAACGAUGAAUGCAGUCGUCGGGCAGUAUACUGUUCGGUGACACACCUAACGGAUUAAGCAUUCCGCCUG